CUGGCAGGCAAGCCAGUAGCACAGGUGGAAGGUAGCCCAGGUGAGCUGUUUUUAGGGGAAUGGGAGCAUCUUCCGCCUGCUUUAAAAAGGGACUGGUGUGAGCUAUAAGGGAAGGGGGUGGCUUGGGGUAAGACAGAGGGGUUUGGGGAAAGCUGUGAGUGGAUAGGCAAAGGGGUAGGUGAGGUAUAAAUGAAGAGCUGUUUGGUCAGGUGUAAAGGGAGAAGGAGCUAGGAGUGGGGGGGAAAGGAGGCCCAUCUUCCAGGUCCGCACUGCCAUGUGGGAUCACUCUUUUUCGAGCUGUGCUUUUUCAGGUGCAGCACCCAAAAACACACAUUUGGGGUGCCCUGCCUGAAAAAAGUGCAGCCCAAAAUCACCCGUUUUUACCGGGACAGUUGACGGGUAUGAAUGCAUCAGAACAAUAUGACAAUAUUUGAGUCCUGAAAUAUUGGACUCAAACAGCCUCAAGCUCGCAGUAAAGCCCAGAGUGGAUACCAUUAUCUUGAGAAGUGACAUUCCCAACUGUUAUCACAGUUUCAUAGAGUUAAAACGACAUAUAAUGUUAAAUACAUCCUGGGGUAGCUCAGUUGGUAGAGCAUGAGACUCUUAAUCUCAGGGUCAUGGGUUUGAGCCCCAUGUUGGGGAAAAGCUUCCUGCAUUGCAAGGGGCUGCGCUAGAUUAUGUUUGUGGCCUCUAUGGCUGUUACUGUUUUUCUUGUGAAAAACAAACUGUAUUUACUGAUUUCAAAUUUACCUUCAGAGCUGUGUGUUUCUUUUAAACAGUCUCGUUCCUUUAGCAAACAGCAUUUUGUGGGGGAGAGGGAUUAUUGAGACUGUGGUGCAGAAAAACAGGUUGUGUACCAUGUGCAGCCCCAAUCCUGAUCUACCCCGCUCUCGGUUAAAAGCCAAAAGAGACCUAAAACAAAUGCAAUUAUGCAUUUCAUGUAACUUGUAAUUGGUGCAUGUACUUUAUUUUUUUGUAUUUCAAAUACUGAUUCUCCUAAAGCAUACUGACUCUCCUUAAAACUGCUACACAUGCCAGGAAGGAAAAUCUUUACUAUACGGUUAUCCAAAAGUUGUCCCCUUAACACUUCUGUUUCAGCUAUGGGACUUCAUUUUCUACUCCAGUCUUUGUGCCCCACUUCAAAAACUCAUAUACAGGAACCCCCAGAACAGUUUGGGGAAGUGGGGAUAGAGAAGAUGGAAAGCAAAUACCAUUGUGCAGGUGAACAGGGACAGUUUUGUUGUAUACGAUCCAUAGCUACAUUUUCUGUAUGUUCAAUAAUUUCCAAAAAGCCCCAAUUUAAUACAUGCAUUCUGCCCUUCUUCUAAUUUCUGCAAUGUAUAAGCACAAAAAAAUUGCAGACUCUAAAUGGCACCAAUCAUAUAAUGUUUGCCAUUUGUUUGCCUUAUUAAAAAGGAAAAAAGGAAAAGAAAAUCUGCAUAGUUUCAAGUGACCUGAAGAGAUGGAGAAAAAUGAUAUAUAAAUACAAUUUGAAUCUAAUGCUGUUCUCACAUUUGUGCUGAUGCUUUUCUAACUUUUCUUUUUGGCGAUUCCAUCCAGCUGUGGCAAAUUGUUUUGAAAGGCACCUUUGUUCGUAAUUGGAUUUUGAUAGAAAAAGUUGACUGUAAGAACUCUGAGCAUGAUAAGGCAAGGAAGAAGCAACAUGGGCAUUGUUGAAAAAGUGUUUAGGGGCUCUUUUUCAGAGGCUCUCAGCAAAUGAAAUACACUGCUAUGGGUACUCAGAACCUUUGGAAAACAAAUUGUUGAACCUAUGUGUUGCUUUGAUGACUAAAAAGCAAUUCCAUUUUUCCCAUUCAGAAGGAAAACAAAUCAGUCUGCCAUGAAGAUGUUUGCAUAUAAAGUCCUAUUGCUUGUACUGUCAAUUUCUCCUGGCAUCCCAUAAAAAGUAUGUUUUAUAAAGUAACUCAGAGCCAUAUCAAAAGAGCGGCAAACAAGAAUAGGCUUCUUUGGGAAUUGCCUCACGUUUGUUUUUCUUCUGCCCACUGGUGUGCUACUGUGUGCCAAUUCUGUUAAAUGCCAAAAUAAAUCACCAUUAAUGAUGUAUGUUGUGCAUGCCAGGCAACGACUGGCAUUUUAAUCACCUAAAUAAAAGUCAAGCUAAAGAUGAGCAUAAAAAACAACUCUAAAACCGAGUGUAAUGACUGUUUGUCAGAGUAAUGUUGCAAUACUUUGCACUCUUCCUUCAGAGUAACUCAGUGGAAAUUAUGUGCAGGAUUAGGCGGCAUGUCUUCAAUCAUUAACAUGCCAACAUGGAACCAAAUCCCAACAAUAUAACUUACUUCCAAGUAAACCUAGGGUGAUUAAAGACUGUUGCAGCACAAUGAAUUCAGUUUCAACUUAAAAAUGAUUGAUUCUGUUUAAUCCUAUAAAAGUAUAACAAGAGUGCAUACAGGAGAUCACUAAACUAAAAUUAGUUGUGCUCGUCCUUAACAACUUUGCUGUUGUUGUUAUAAUACGGAAGCCUCUUGUACCAACGUGCUUAAUUCAGCUAACACUCUCUACAUGCCCCUGAAGCUUCACUCUAGAUUGCACAAAGGAAGAAGCAAACUGUAGUGUACUUGACUCCAUUGAAAGGUGGCUACUAACGCUCAUGGAUUACUAGUGCAAUUGUUUUAAGUCUAGCAGUGUUAUUUUGUAAUAACUGAGCCUCUGAACUAUCAAGGAUGUUCCAUGUACAAUGCAUUGCAGAAAUUCAGACAUGACAGCCAGGCCAUCACUGCCUAGGAAAGUCUGUAGCUGGUACACCAGCAGCACCCAUUGAAAGUGUUUCAUGUCACUAUGGCCAGUUCAAUUUCCAGAGUUACCUGUGCUAAAUGCUAAUGUACCGUUUUCCACUGUACUGAAAGUUGAGCUCCAACAGACUCUUACUGUCUUUGUAGCUCUGUAAGGGAUAAACUACAACCCCACAAAUACUUUAGGAGGCGGGAAUGUACUUUAAAGAUAUACUGUGUAUGCAGUCUCCACCAGCUCUUCCAACAACUUUUGGAUCCUCCUCUCAUUGGAUUUUAUCUAUUUGGGGUGGUCAUUACAAGAACUUUGUAACUAAGAAUUAGAGUCCAGGUUUGCCUUCCCACCCUACCAAGCCCUUUUCAUAUGCCACCCACUACUGGGCUAAUAACGAUACGUCCAAAUAAUAAUAAUAAUAAUUCACCAAUAGCUAUUUAACAUAGACCACUUAAUUUUAUCCUAGAAGAAAUAACUCCAACCUAAAUGGUCUUACCAAAGAAGGAACUAUUGCCUUUAUUCCACACUACUGCUUCCCAAAGUUCUGCUACUGGAAUCAUAGGGGAACUAGUUGACCCAUUUUGCACUGAGUUCCUUGGAAAAUGAACUGUAUGUCAUACAUUUAAAUAAUUAAUUCAACAGGUGUUCUUAGUAAGGAAGUGUACUAUUAAAAGCACUAAAAUCUUUCUUGCAGAACAUGGAUCUCCAUUUUCAGCUGCUUCUUUUUUGAGCUACACACUUUGAAAGCUUGAUACUUGCAUAGUUUUCAUGAAAUAUGUACAGUACCCCUAACUUCCCUGCAAAACAUGAUACACUAUAUAUAGCACCCAGUCCUUGUAAAAGGAAUUACCUGACAUUAAUUUAGUCUUCAAGGAGGCAUUUAGUGAUAUAUUCCCAAAGAAACUUAUGCAAACGUAGUAUUUCAGAAAUCACCUUAUUUAUAUUACAAGUGAAAGCAGAGGAAAUAAGAAGAGGGAAAGCAGUUACAAGAGGAAGAGUUAUAGACGCAAGAUAGUGGGAUCAACAAAUGAACUCAACUCACCACUCAUUCUUCCAGAAAACAUGCCAGAUCAUGAAAUGUCUCACAUCUUCCUUAUAUGUCAUGAGAAUGACAUAUACGUAAAAGCCUUUGAUAUGAUAAGCACCAUGCAGAAUACUUAUAUGCAAGCAGCCUACUGUACGAAGUUACUUUGUCAAAUGAGGCUAUUAUGCAUAAUGUUCACAGUGUGGGAUAAAUGGAAUUUAAAUAGCAGAAGCACAUAUUGAGUUAUUGGGUAUCUCCUUGUCAGACUAGGACGUGAUUUCAUUUUGCUGCUACACUGAAGUCACACACAAUAACAAAGCGAGAGCCCAUCUCAGCCUAGCAAUUCAUACUUGUCAGGCCUCUUCUCUCUGUGGUGUACAGAAAGUCCCAUUUCGCUGCAGCACAUCCACCAUCAGUUGUCAUGAAACUCAAUCACAAUCUAAACAAAAUGAGAGACUUAACAUCACAGAAGAGACAGUGGGCUCUGUACAUAGCUUUGUUAUUUUGUCUCUUCCAAGUUCCUCAAAAACAAUUCUGAAAAUCUGACAGAUUCCUCUCCUCUCCAAUAAGCCCACCCCCCAGCCUGUAAAAGCUGCUUCAGACUGCCCUCCAACCCUCCAGAGCAGAUUUUGAGGGGGUUGCAGGGAUGAACAGAUGAGGGUUCAGUCCUAGUGCAUGAGUGGAAGUCUGUUCUGCUCAUUCCUGGGUAGCAUUAGAUAAACUAUACUAGUUCAUAUGAGAAUGCUAUUUUAUUAAGUAAUUCCUGGUCUGCUUAGACAUUAAUUCCUUGAUUAAAAAGCCCUUGCCACAGUGUUUUGCAAAUUACAUGGUGGCAACUUAGGUAGCCGAUACAGCAGCUGCAGCAUUGUUGUUUUUGGGUGAAGACAAAGGCAAAGUAGGUGUUGAGCAGUUCCACCUUCUCUCCUUCUUCUUUCUCAGUAGGUGGAAGUGUGACUAGGCAGGCCCUCAAGCUGCUGUACCUUCUUUUCUAGCAAGGCAUCUGCUGCAGGACUAGUUUUGUAUAACAUCCUGAUCCUAUGUCUACUCUGAGACAGCACCCCGGGACUCUCCCUCAAACUUCCUCACUAAACGCCCUCACAAAUGCCUCUGUUUACAACCACAAUGAUAAUGGUAAUAAUUGUAUCAUUUAUCCCCCACCCAUCUGGCUGGGUUUCCCCAGCCACUCUGGGCAGCUUCCAGCACAUUAACAAAUGUAAGUCCUAGUCACAAGUUGCAAUCAGCUAAAUAGAACUCCUACUGAUUGUUAACGCUUCCCCCAAUUUUUAGAGGAAUAGAAAGCUACUGUAACACACACACACAUUUUAAUUCUUGUGGUUUACAAAAAACAGAGCAGUAUGUAUACAACCAGUAAAUCAGUAAUGCAUCAAACCAUUAACACAAAAACAAUUAUCUAUAACUGAUAUAACUUAUAUUGGUUUAAACUUUACACUGUUAGCUGUUCUGUAUUUGUGUAUAUUCUUUCAACCUAAAUGCAGGUUAUAAAUGAAUUAACAAUGCUAAUAAGUAAGUAGAUACAUUUCCGACCAGCUACUAAUCUCAUCUCGUUCUUUGCCUGGAGUGGAUUUCUAACCUAGAAAUACUGUGCUCAUAGUUCAAAUAUUUUUCAUUGUUUGGUUAAGAGUUCACAUUUCUACAAAGACUGAAAGGCCCAUUUCUCUGUAGCUUAUAUUAUCUGAUUAUUUAACUGCCUUUCUCCUAGCCUACAGAUACUAUCUUUCAAGGCUGCUUCACACUGUCCAUUCUUUAAGUGAACAGCUUUUGCCUUCAACCCCAGACUUUUCAAACAUAAGGUUAGGAGCUUAGUUCUUUAUUACUCCUGUGAUGCCAUUAAGGUUCCACUUGCCUCACACAAAAAGACAUCCACCCUUAAUUUUUCAAACUAAUAGCAUCUAGAAAGCUGUGUAUUUUCUCUUACUGAGAAAAUAGGCUUCCCAGAGCAAUUGGGACUAGAAGUAAAUUGUUGGAAUUUAUCUCCCAGCAUCCUUUGGCAUAUCCAUUGUGCACUAUUCGGCUGUGGAAGAAUUUAUGCAGUAUCAGCUUUAAUUCAUUUUGGGCUGGACUGAACACAGUCUGCUAAUUUAGCUCAUCAAACAAAUCUACAUUGAAAACAUACUAUUACUAUGACUACAAAAUUGUUCAGUGUUGGGAGUGUUAAUCUGACUCAGCAGUUUGUAAUUUAAGCAAAUGUCAACUAUAUAUACAAAUAUAUAUAGUUUAAUGAAAAGUCCUGAUGUGUGUUGUGGUCAUUGAAAAUAUGUAACAGUAGAUUUGAAGAAUUUUGCUUUCUUUGAUCAGAAAAUAAAAAUGAUAAGUGGUUUAGUGAAUGAAAGAAAAUCACGGGAGAAAACAACAUACUCACAUUUAUCCAAUUUCAAAUUACAUAAAUUAUUCUUCUUUAAAAGCUGUCACUGUUGAAAGCAAUGUAUUAACUUUUUCCACCAGCCAGAGACUGGAAGAUGACAUUAUUUUACACUUUGUUACUUUUUAUUUCUAUGGUGAAACUUUAGCAUCAAGACCUCUGUGUGUUUGGAAUGUUCAAUAUGCCAGACUAGAAAGCAUUUUUAAAUUUGCAUGGCUACUCAUCAAUGCAAUUCUCUAGACAGGUUACAAAUGGUGUCUGUCUGUCGAUAGACAGUAUUUAAUCUGUGGCAUAACUUCAAUGUGACUAUACGCAGAAGAGAACACCAGGUUUAUCAAAGGUGGUGUAGAGACACUUCAGAUCUAAGACUGCAGUUAUAUACACACUCAAAAGCAAGUAAGUGUGAUCAAACUCAAACUUAUUUCGGAGUAGAUAUGUAGAGGAUUAUGCCAAUUCACACAUGACCUAGUGACUUAUUUUCUCCAGAUACACUUUCCCCCCAUUCAUGUCCCACGUAUGAAACUGCAUGGGGGCGGGGUAUCAAGAGUGAAAAGAUACUGCUAGUAUACAGCUUAAUGAUAUAUCCAUUUACUGCCCAGAUUUCACAGUCAUGUUCUUUAUGUGAUUCCACACGAGGCAGGGUUGGGAAGAGAAAAUGAGUAACCAUCUUGAAUACAUGAAUCAGAUUAUAUAAUCUUAAGAAGAAAGAAAGCUGGCAAACUAUGCUCCACUACUACACUACCUAAAUGUAAUAUAGACUCAUUAAAUCCUAUUCACGUAUAGUCAAAUCACAUACAGUGGUGCCUCAGGUUACAUUCGCUUCAGGUUACAUAUGCUUCAGGUUACAGACUCCACUAACCCAGAAAUAGUGCUUCAGGUUAAGAACUUUGCUUCAGGAUGAGAACAAAAAUCGUGCUCCUGUGGCGCAGCAGCAGCAGGAGGCCCCAUUAGCUAAAGUGGUGCUUCAGGUUAAGAACAGCUUCAGGUUAAGUACAGACCUCCGGAACAAAUUAAGUACUUAACCCGAGGUACCACUGUACAGUAGCGUUUCUCACUUAGUUACGUCCUAGCAUUCAUCCAUGUGAGCAUCAGUCCUCACACUGGCCUUUUUUCAGCUGCAACACUAAACUAUGGUUAGCAUUAUGGGAGGAAGCCUUGGGCUAUAAAGACUCCCCUUCCCUUCUGAUAAACUUCCUCAGCUUAUCACAGUUAAGUAUUAUGUUCAAAACAGAUCAACGACUAAACCUGUUAGCAUCCAAGCUCAUUUCCUUUGGGGAUUUUAUUAUUUCUUUCAAGCAGCAUCUGGUUGGAAAUCAAAGUUUUUAUUAACAACAAAUGCUAUACCGUGACUAUUCAGUUUAUCCUGUAUUUAUUUUUUUAUCUUCGGCAGAUGGUUGUAAAACUAUUAGCAUUUGUUCUUUUAAAAACAUUCUGGAGGGAUCAAAUAAUACAGACAAGUAAAUACAAGGAGCAGUCAAGCAACUGUAAGUGGUUGAUGAGGAUACAAAUAAUCAGCUUAAUUUAAAAUUGGGCUUUACUUCAGCCCUGUAAGUGGGUAAUGCUCAUUUGGUGUAUACCAAACCACAAAGCUACUAAUCUCGCUACUUUCAAAAUGCAAAACAAAUGAUCUACAGGUGCUGAGCAACAGGUUUUGAAAAAGCAACAGCUCACCUGAUGUCAGUGGGAAGCUCCAAAAAAUUAUCAGAAGUUAGUACAGAGUGGCUUGGCAGCUGUUACUCUUAAUUCAAUAGCUUCUGGGAAUGCUGAAGCCUCAUUGAGACAACUUCUUUUUUUAGAGGGGAGUCUGCCCUAUAGGUCCUCCUACUUCUUUAAACUUACCAUUUUAUAUUUAGGUAAAGGUAAAGGAACCCCUGACAGUUAAGUCCAGUCGAGGGCGACUCUGGGGUUGCGGCACUCAUCUCACUUUCAGGCCGAGGGAGCCAACAUUUGUCUGCAGACAGCAUGUGGCCAGCAUGACUAAGCCGCUUCUGGCGAACCACAGCAGCACCAAAGCUGUCAACCUUCCCAUUUUUGGCAGGAAAUUCCAUUAUUUCAGCGCCGUUUCCCGCUGCUAUCCUGGAUUGUUAAAUAUCCCAUAGACUAUCUCUGGGAAAGGUGAGGCUGCUGAUCCCUUAUUUUCAAAUCCGAAAGUUGACAGCUAUGCUGCUGAUCCUUUAUUUUCAAAUCUGAAAGUUGACAGCUAUGAGCAGCGCACAGAAACACCGUUCACCUUCCUGCCGGAGUGGUACCUAUUUAUCUAUUUGCACUUUGAUGUUUUUUCAAACUGCUAGGUUGGCAGGGCAGGAACCGAACAAGGGGAGCUCACCCCGUCACAGGGAUUUAUUUUAUUUCCUUAUGGAAUGUAUUAUUCACUUUAUAUUCCAGAAAAUUCAAAGUGAUGUUCAGAAAGUCUUUAUAUGUAAUUUAAUGCUUGAAAAUAGAUAAGAAGCAUGGCUGUGACCAUCUCUCUGGAAAGGCUUGUCUAGAUAUGUAAUAGGCACAAAGAGACCGAUAUGAUUGGUGCUUGUCUAAUUUGUACAGGGUGGAAAUUUCUAUACAACUGGUAUUGCAAUGCUAAAGGUCUGGUUUUGACUUGUUAUGGAGCAGAUGUCCUAGGCACCAUUGGAAGAGCUUCCUGUGAUGAGCACAGCUGUCAAACAAGUAUAUAGGGGGUGAGAUUAUCUUUCAAACAACCUCGUGUUGAAUUGUUUCAGGCCCCUUGCUAAAACUUUAUAUUUGGUCCAGAGAAAUAUUUGCAGCUACUGUAGGUUGUUCAGUCAUAGUUUUAUAUACUAGGAGUAGUCUAUUCCACUUCAACCUACCUUUUUUGCACAAACUGAAGCUUCCAGGCUAACCUUAAGGGCAUCAAGAGUAUUGAACUAAUUGAGUAUUGAGGUUAACCUCUGCAAACUUUGAUAGGUGUCCAUCACCUGGCAUCCUGAUGACAUCAGGUGGUAGACAGAUGGGUGGUCCUGUCCACCCAUCAAAGCUAGUCCACCAGAAGGGGGCAAAGUAGGGAUCUGAUUUGAUCUAGUCCUUUACCCCCUGUGCAUUUUUUUAAGAUAACAUUUUAUUUUUGCUUCUUUUAGAAGAAUUACAUUGUGUGGAAAAAUCCAAUCAUAAUUUCCCAUGCAACAUCCAGUUAAGUUCUCAGUUUGUUCACAGCAACCAAAUUACAUUUGUCAUUCAGCAAAAAAAAAAAAAAGCCAGCCAUACAAUUAUAUGAUACCUACAUGUCCAUGAACUGAUUAAUUCUAUAGAGGAAAUGUUUUCAUUCUGUCAUUGUCCACUUUCUCAGUAACUUCCCUGAAUUGCUGAAUAUAACUGAAAAUAAACUCUGAAAUAAAAGCAAAGAAAUUGCAUUGCAUUCAAUUUAUGUAAGGCAUUAUUUAGCUUAAAACUGAUAUAAAAACCCUGCAUGUUUACAAUAUCCUAUCAGAAGGCUUGAAAGCAUGAAUGAAAUAGCACAUCUUAAGUAUGUGGAUUUUGUGGCAUUAUUGAUACCAGCCCUCCCACCCUUUUUUAUUUCCCAAGGAGUGAAUUAUAGUUGUAUAAACUCAGCCUCACACUAAAUGCUGGCUCCUGCUGGAAAGAAAGCAGUAAGACUGCAGAAAGCUCUUUCUCCUAGCCAGAGGCUAUCAAGCUGCUAAAGUAUUCAGCAGUCAGCUGUGGCAUGCAAAUGAGAGGAAACACCUGCAAAAGCAACAUCAACCCCUGGUAAUACCAGAAAGAUUCCUACAAGGGGUAUCAUGUGGGAUGAUCGGAAGUGCACAAAAUAAUCUCUCCACUAACCUGUCUGCAGACCCAAAAAUGUAAUUUUCUCAAUCUGAAAGUGUUCAUACUUGUCCUCAACACACUACUUUUGACCUACAUUGAUUCUGGACCCUGUCAUCCACAAGUUGGUGAGGUUACUUGAUAUGUGUCUGAAAAUUAUCCCCUUAAUUAGGUUACCCAUACCUUUUCCUCCCUGCACAUGCCCCAUGUGAAUGAAGAAAGAAGCAGUGGUUGUGAUCUUGCCCACACACAGCACCAUUGGACAGGUGUGGAUACACAUCCCCCACUGCCAGGACCACCUGUGUUUUCUAAUAGACACACUGCUGGGUAAUGCAGAAUCAAUCUGCAAUCAGCUUUUAGUUUGAAUUCAAACCAGGUUCUCAAGAAGCACAAAGAUAUGCAAUAAAUCUUGAUUUUGUGUGCAGACUAUGGAGAAAAAAACAAGUACUCCAUUGAGUCUAGAAUAAAGUGUUGUGUGUACAUAGCCCUUAUGUGUUCUCUCUCUUUUUUAAAUAGAGAAGAGAUAUACAUCCAACAGCAAAGGGCCAAUUUUGUAUGCAGAAGGCCACAGAUUCAAUCAAAAGCAUCAUCAGGUAAGGGAUUUCAGAUAGUGUGGAAGGGAAAUAUCUCACUCUGCCCAAGACAAUGGGGACCUGCUGACAUUGAGAUUAGAUAGUGCUGGGUUAGAUGAACAUAUGAAGUGACUUGGUAUAAGGCAUUCAUUUAUGUUCCUUUGUUCAAGUGGACAGAGCCACCACCACCACCAAAAAACAGGAAAUUAAUCUUCCAUUUCAUUUUCUUCCAUUGCAUGACUUUCACAGAUACAAGAGGAGUAAAGGACUAGUCAGCUAGUGUAAAAGAGCACAAGUAGACUUCCAACUAAUUCUCACAAAAUCAAGAGAAUACUCUCAAAAUCAAAACUCAUCUAUAACUCCUAAAUACAGAAAAGGAAAAAGGGGCCACAUAAAAAGACAAAGACAUGAUUAGAAUAAGGAACAACAUUAUGAGUAUUGUUAAGCACCGAAAUAUCUCUUAGCUAGAUGAAUAAGCAAUUUUUAAAAGAAAUAUUAAGCAAACAAGUUGAGGCACCCAACAGCAAAUGACCAAGAACCAUGAUCUAUUUAAGGGAUGGGUUUGAGGGUUGGGGAGUGGAGAGCUAAUCUCAUUUGGGAAAAAUUUCCUCCCAUCCCCAAACAAGUGGAUUAGACAAACCUUGGGUAUGCAGAAAGCUUCAUUCACCAUUUUACUCCACUCAUUGAUGGGAGACUGCUUUCUUAGUCCUUUAAGCACCAGUCCAAUGUGACCAAUACCCCUGGAGCCAUCUUUGAGGGUUAGUGUUUCUCUCCCCUUCCAGGAUUACAAAUAACUCUCACUGACUUCAGUGGGAGUUACUUGUAUCUGCCAGGGGAGAAUCAUGAUGGAGUGUGCAAGGAAGCAUUCUGCCCUUAAAAAUGUCAAAAAUCAUUAGGAGUGACUGCGCAGCAUGAGCAGGAAUCAAUAUUAGAGAAGACAGGAGUAAGCAAAUGAGACAGGAAGUGGAGACUGUUAAAGGGAAACCUAGAAGCAAAAUAGAAACCUGUGGGGGAGAGAAAGAUAUUGGCCCAGGGAUAAAAAUAUACGCAGGGGAAGGAGGAGGAAAAUGAAAAUAAAGAGAGAAAUGAGACACUAACAAGCCUCAGCAGCAAAAGAGGGGGAAGAAAAUGGCCUUUGCAAGGGAUUAAACAGAAGGAAAACAGAUUGGAUUAUAAUUCUGAAGCUAUAUUGUAGCAAUGUGAUUAGGAUUUUAAUUUAUUUUUGUAUGUUAAUAUACAAGCACUGUAAUAUAAAUGUAUACCAUGUAUCAUAUUUACAUGUGAAAACUGGAAGUUACAUUAACUAUACAUUUCAUAGGUAAUGUACUAUACAGUUCCAAAUUCAGUCAGUUUAAAGCAUUUGCAUACUUGGUUUUUGCUUAAGAGAAAUUAUUCCAGUUCAAGCAGCAUUUCACCAUCAACUAAAAAAGAUUUUUUUCAUAUGUACAUUUCCACUUCAUACCUCAGCAUUUAAGACCUACUAUUUGAAUGGGUUUGUCAAUGCAAGUCAUUGCUAGAUGCUGCUGCUCUAUGAGAUAUUAUAUAAAAGUAAACUAUUAACUAAUGGAGUGUAAGGAGAAGGGGUAAUAGUCUCCUUCUGGAGUAGUUCGUCCACCUUUGGUCCCCACCCUGCACUUGGCUGUGGCUCCUAAAAGCUGUCAGCAUGAGGCGGCAGCCACACCCUGGGAAUGGCUUCAACUGGCUGGCUAAUCUUCCCCUGCAUGUGGAAAAAAGGCGCCAGCGGAUUGAGCAAACAAGAUCAAUAGUGGGGUCCAAUGGUCAAGGAGGAGGUUUCUGCACAUGCUGUAGAAGUGAGGAGCAGAUGGGGCUUGUCAACCUGGGAAGGUAGCCCACCUAGAAGAAGGAAAACUAUGCUCCUAAUCCUCUGCUGCCUUGGGGGGGGAGGGUUGGGAGAAGAAAGACCCUACACAAAUCCGGAGUGGAGUCCCUAAGACAGCUGGAUGGCACCUUUUGCACCUUCUUCCGGCAACCAAGUUAGUGCCAAACGUAUUGUUCUGCUUUCCUUUGGACCACAUCAGAGAAGCUGAAGGUGGUCUGGUCGUCUGGGCAGUCCAGGACCUCCAUAUACACUGCCUAGGCUUGUGCCCCAGGGAUUUCACUUUGGUGCUGCUAACAGUGAUUUGACUCCAUCCCUGGAGGCACACUCCAUUGGUUUUCAAGGCAGAUGGAUGCCAACAAUAAUGACUUUGGCUCUCCCACCAUUGAACCUGAUGUGUUUCGACUCUAUGUGGUUCCAGCUUUAAGCACAAUCCCUAGAACGUAAUCCCCGUUUAAAUUCCAGGCUUACGGUAUCCGGGAAGAAACUACAGGUUUCUAGAUGGCUAAACCAGAAUGAACAGAUUACUUGCUGCAAAGCAGCUGUAAUACUGCUGGAUCACUUCUCUUUAUUCUAAAGAAGAAAGACAUUAAAUAAAGGAUAUUUAUGAGCUACUGAAUGGUAAGUAUCUUUCCUGCCUGAAGAAAAUAUUAAUGAAGCAGACAAAAUUUAAAAUUUGUUUCCCAGGACUAGGAAUUAGUUCACAGAGCAGAAGUACGGUAGAUAGGAGUAACAGGAAGUUUUAUCUCCUCCUCCCCCCCCCCAUGUGUCCACAUCAUCUAGACACACUGGCCCACAUUAUUUUACUUAGGUAUUUUGAGUAGUGGAUUAUUUAAUUUGCAGCAACUGACUUUUAACAGCCCAAGCCUCACAUCAACUCAGUCAAAAUCAUUUUGCAAGUGAAUGAUCCUUUGCUGGUGACAAAUCUUCUGAAAAGAAAACCCCAAACAACCCUCUGGUAACACAAGAUGCUCCAUUUCCUUAAAUUGCUAUAUAAUGUGUUACAAGGCUGAGGGCUACAGGCUUGAAAAAUUAUGGAGAACAUGAUAUAUGUGACUUGAAUCAUGUAUGUUCCCCCCUUUUCUAUUCUUUGUUUUAGGUAUAUUUAUUAUCACUGCAAAAAGGACCAACCAACUUAGCAUCCCCUAACAUCGAUUCCAGCUAAAUAUCUCUCUGAGAAGCCAACUGUCAAAUCAUCUCCCACAGCUCAAGAGGCAACGGUUUUCUUCUUUUGUUCCAUCCCCCUCUCCCCCACGUUUCUUUUCCACUGGCUAACUUUCAGCCUUCAGUUAGUAGAGUCAUAUCCAACUCCUUUAGCCUCAAACUAUAGUUCCAAAAAGGCAGUGAGAAAUCAAGAUCAGCUUCAGCUGGACCAAUGGAAAUCACACGAAACAUUAUGCUGUCACACAAUAUACUCCAAAUAUAUUAAAGUAGUAGUACCAUGGAGGUGCACACCUUAUAGUACCCAAUCUUUCAAUUUAUGCAAUGAACUGUAAUUAAAUGGCUAAAUACACAUUCCUACCAUGGUUUCCAUGUGUGAUAUAAACAUAACAGGUAAAAAGAAACAAUUGACAUGAAAUAUUCACCUGUUAAGGAACCCUCAGUUAAGGAGCACCACACCUCAAAACUCACAGGCAUUGUACUCAGUUGUAGCCUUCAACAUACCAAACUGAAUACAAAAGGCUAAGCAAAAAAAAAAGGAAUCACCUCCAACUUUCUCAUACACCCUGAGAUGCAAUCUACCAAGUCAUGGCUUUCAGUAGAGCCCUGUUUUAGGAUAUCACUUAUUAUGAGUCUCUAGUACACAGACAUCUUUCUUCUUCACUUGCCGAGUUCCAUUGCAUCAGAAUCUCUGGCUGUUCUAAAUGAAGUUACUGACUCAAACUUGUGUGCAUGAAAGGGUUAACCUGGUCCCUGAGCUCAAGUUACCAGUGUGAGUAUGGCUUAGCAGGUUCUGCUUCCUCCUCCAUUCUCAGUCUUUUUCUCCUUCAUGCAAGUGAAUUGACUCUCUCUAAAAUGAGAUUUUAUAGCCUGCAUCUUUGCUAAUCCAAAUACUGAAUGAUCUUUUUAUAAGGAAACC
This is a non-coding RNA of Podarcis lilfordi (Lilford's wall lizard), 14412 nucleotides long. The record is from the annotation of a GenBank genome assembly. NCBI's taxonomy places the organism in Eukaryota, Metazoa, Chordata, Lepidosauria, Squamata, Lacertidae.